RNAcentral lists this ribosomal RNA (911 nucleotides) under uncultured bacterium. RNAcentral describes it as "bacterial SSU rRNA". It matches the Rfam family "Bacterial small subunit ribosomal RNA", at positions 9 to 916 of the family's 1533-position model. The record is from RNAcentral.
GAGUUUGAUCAUGGCUCAGGAUGAACGCUAGCGAUAGGCUUAACACAUGCAAGUCGAGGGGCAGCACGGAAUAGCAAUAUUUUGGUGGCGACCGGCGCACGGGUGAGUAACACGUAUGCAACCUACCCAUGACAGUGGAAUAACCCGUCGAAAGGCGGACUAAUACCGCAUAAUAACGAGAUACCGCAUGGUAUUUUGUUCAAAGAUUUAUCGGUCAUGGAUGGGCAUGCGUUCCAUUAGGUAGUUGGCGGGGCAACGGCCCACCAAGCCUGCGAUGGAUAGGGGUUCUGAGAGGAAGGUCCCCCACACUGGUACUGAGACACGGACCAGACUCCUACGGGAGGCAGCAGUGAGGAAUAUUGGUCAAUGGGCGAGAGCCUGAACCAGCCAAAUCGCGUGAAGGAUGAAGGUAUUAUGUAUUGUAAACUUCUUUUACAGGGGAAUAAAGUGCGGGACGUGUCCCGUUUUGUAUGUACCCUGAGAAUAAGGAUCGGCUAACUCCGUGCCAGCAGCCGCGGUAAUACGGAGGAUCCAAGCGUUAUCCGGAUUUAUUGGGUUUAAAGGGUGCGUAGGCGGGGAAUCAAGUCAGCGGUGAAAGUUUGCGGCUCAACCGUAAAAUUGCCGUUGAAACUGGUUCUCUUGAGUGUAGAUGAGGUGGGUGGAACUCGUGGUGUAGCGGUGAAAUGCUUAGAUAUCACGAAGAACUCCAAUUGCGUAGGCAGCUCACUGGGCUACAACUGACGCUGAGGCACGAAGGUGCGGGGAUCAAACAGGAUUAGAUACCCUGGUAGUCCGCACAGUAAACGAUGAAUACUAGCUGUUGGCGAUACACAGCCAGUGGCACAGCGAAAGCGUUAAGUAUUCCACCUGGGGAGUACGUUCGCAAGAAUGAAACUCAAAGGAAUUGACGG